AUACGUAGGGGGCGAGCGUUGUCCGGAAUUAUUGGGCGUAAAGGGUUCGUAGGCGGUUAAAUAAGUCAGGUGUGAAAGCCAUAGGCUCAACCUAUGUAAGCACUUGAAACUGUAUAACUUGAGUUAAGGAGAGGAAAGUGGAAUUCCUAGUGUAGCGGUGAAAUGCGUAGAUAUUAGGAGGAAUACCAGUGGCGAAGGCGACUUUCUGGACUUAUACUGACGCUGAGGAACGAAAGCGUGGGGAGC
RNAcentral lists this ribosomal RNA (246 nucleotides) under uncultured bacterium. RNAcentral describes it as "partial 16S ribosomal RNA". It matches the Rfam family "Bacterial small subunit ribosomal RNA", at positions 523 to 769 of the family's 1533-position model. The record is from RNAcentral.